Molecule: microRNA precursor, 205 nt
Filed under: Oryza nivara
Lineage: Eukaryota; Viridiplantae; Streptophyta; Magnoliopsida; Poales; Poaceae
Description: MIR812 microRNA precursor family
Rfam family: MIR812 microRNA precursor family
Source: Rfam by way of RNAcentral
AAAAAAGACAAACACUAGUUUCCGUGUCCAACGUUUGACCAUUCGUCUUAUUUAAAAAAAUUACAAAAAAAUUAAAAAGACAAGUCACGCAUAAAAUAUUAAUCAUGUUUUAUCAUCUAACAACAAUGAAAAUACGAAUUAUAAAAAAAUUUCAUAUAAGACAGACAGUCAAAGUUGGACACGGAAACCUAGGGUUUGUCUUUUU